CAUAGUUGCAAGGGUUCCAAACCUUAAUUACUUAAGUACCAAAGGCUGCUUUCGGUUGGUUUCAUAAUGGGGCUGUUCACUACAAGCUAUCAGCGCUCAGCGCUGUCUUAGAUUGAACGUUGACUUAUCUUAUUGCCGUUCAAUCUCUAAGGCGGGUUUCCGCUGAGAACGGAAUAGUGUUCGUGUCCAAAGGUGAACAAAGCCCUAGCUUCUAGAGUUCGCUGCUUUUCCCAGGCCGGAGAAGGGCUUAUACUGCUCGCCUUUGUUUGAUAUGUUCAUUCAGUACCAAUACAAACAAAAACUACACCAAAGUGGAAGGGCCAGUAUAGAAGCUAGAAGUAGCUAGCCUAU
RNAcentral lists this long non-coding RNA (351 nucleotides) under Nicotiana benthamiana. RNAcentral describes it as "long non-coding RNA (NBEN_LNC039309)". Lineage: Eukaryota; Viridiplantae; Streptophyta; Magnoliopsida; Solanales; Solanaceae. The record is from RNAcentral.